Molecule: long non-coding RNA, 1076 nt
Filed under: Carassius auratus (goldfish)
Lineage: Eukaryota; Metazoa; Chordata; Actinopteri; Cypriniformes; Cyprinidae
Description: lncRNA (ENSCARG00000039346.1)
Source: RNAcentral
CUUUUACACACACCUCUGGCACUUUUUUAAGUGUGCAUUAUAGUUUUAAUUCAAAUGCAAAAGGCCCAAAUGCUAUUUUCAGCCAAUCUAAUUCCAUUCCCAUUGCAGAUGUCAUGAUUUUAUGCCAAGUAAGAAUCCACUCGAGAGGACAGUGAUUUGUUAUUGUACCAGCAGCCUUUAUUCAGAUGAAGCAUGCAUUAAUGGAUGAAUCACAAAUAUACAGUACAUCUACUUUAAAGAGCUCAGCUUGCCAUAGGAAUUAUAAAGACACAAAGUGCAGAGCCAAGAACGAAACUUAAGAUCUAAAAAUCAACGCUUUGCAGCACUCUCCUUCGGCUCACUUUCACUCACUCCAAAUUGCUUUCAUUUCCAUUUCUUUAUUCAUGAAGUUAGACAUGCAGAAGGAAUCUAUAAUACUCUGCUUCAAAAGUGUUGAUUUAAAAGUUAUAAGUUUCAUUGUAAAUGCAAUGAUGUUUUGGGCUGUGCAUGAGUAGUCUUUAGAUAUGGGGUGCCAAAACUUCAUUGCGAGUUAAGCAGAAAGAGUAGUGUUUAUAAAUAACACAUAUAACAUUUUAGAAGGGACUGUCUUAGCAAGCUCCAAACCCUCCACACACAUUCAGAUUUAUUUCCUUUUUGUGUUUUACAGGUUCCACAGCGUGCGCUCAUUGGGCUUGGAUUCAUUUGAUGGGUCAAUACUUUCUUUUUUAAUGCACUUCAAUUCAAAAAUACUAAAUCACAGAGGAAUCCAUAUCGCCUGUUGUAUAAACUUUUUUUAAAGAUACAUAAGCUUUUAACAUGUAUUCCCAGGUCCAUGCUACACUUAAACACAAGUUUAAUGUGUAGGGCUGAUGUAGUGCACUGUUGCUCUUCUAAACCACAUUAUGCUACGAUUAUUCACCAAGAAGCACUAUAGGAAAGAUCAAGAUGUCCAAAACAGUUCUACGCUGAGCCCUGCUCAGCCCUCAAGCGGCGAGAGAUCAUCCCGGCGGGGACCGGCUGUCCUCUCUUGGAGCAGUAUCAGGGUGUCUCAGCUCACCGGAGCAUUUUUGAAGGGGAAGGAUUGUACCGUUUUCUGA